This 72-nucleotide transfer RNA is filed under the name Ovis aries (sheep). It matches the Rfam family "tRNA". From Rfam's summary of the family: Transfer RNA (tRNA) molecules are approximately 80 nucleotides in length. Their secondary structure includes four short double-helical elements and three loops (D, anti-codon, and T loops). The record is from Rfam by way of RNAcentral. Lineage: Eukaryota; Metazoa; Chordata; Mammalia; Artiodactyla; Bovidae.
UCCCUGGUGGCUCAGCUGGUAAAGACUCCACCUGCAAUGUGGGAGACCUGGGUUCGAUUCCUAGGUUGGGAA